RNAcentral lists this ribosomal RNA (273 nucleotides) under uncultured bacterium. Its description in RNAcentral is "partial 16S ribosomal RNA". It matches the Rfam family "Bacterial small subunit ribosomal RNA", at positions 523 to 796 of the family's 1533-position model. The record is from RNAcentral.
ACACGGAGGGUGCAAGCGUUGUUCGGAAUUACUGGGCGUAAAGCGCGCGUAGGCGGCUUAUUAAGUCAGAUGUGAAAUCCCCGGGCUCGACCUGGGAACUGCAUCUGAUACUGGUAAGCUAGAGUUUUGGAGAGGGAAGUAGAAUUUCAGGUGUAGCGGUGAAAUGCAUAGAGAUCUGAAGGAAUACAGUGGCGAAGGCGACUUCCUGGCCAAAAACUGACGCUGAGGUGCGAAAGCGUGGGUAGCAAACGGGAUUAGAAACCCUAGUAGUCC